UUCUUCUAAAAAUCAACUAAGCACCAUGUGCAUGAGGCUUUAAUAAAAAAAAAGUCUAACAUGGGUCAUUUGAUGUUUGCCUUAAGAAAGAACUCAUAUGCCAGAAGCCAACUGCUAUCAUGUCAUAUUCUUGAAUAAACAUGGUGCCUCUCCUAAGCUGAAGCUGUUGUUUAUUAUUUUGCAUACAUUUUAACCCACAUAGUCAUAUUGAGCUUUCCUGGUUACCAAUCACAUUAUAAACCACAGAAAGCAUGCAAAGCUGGAGAAGCAGAGCCUAGUUCUGGUUAAUAGUCCUACUCAGCCUUUGGUCCAGCUAACUCUAACUACAUCUUGAGCUGGAUCAUAAGGGAAAGAGCUAUUGCUUUUGGAUUUAAGAAGUAUGCAGUGCCCAGCGUUCCUAAUGAACAGGAGAAACAGCUGGGCCACCCAACAUGAUCUUAAACCUGUACCAUAAAUAAUGAAG
This 463-nucleotide long non-coding RNA is filed under the name Homo sapiens (human). Its description in RNAcentral is "HSALNT0022068". The record is from RNAcentral. Lineage: Eukaryota; Metazoa; Chordata; Mammalia; Primates; Hominidae.